GCCCGAGUAGCUCAGCGGUAGAGCAGCGCUUUCGUAAAGCGAAGGUCGUAGGUUCGAUUCCUAUCUUGGGCACCA
RNAcentral lists this transfer RNA (75 nucleotides) under Planctomycetota bacterium. RNAcentral describes it as "Planctomycetes bacterium (activated sludge metagenome) tRNA-Thr". It matches the Rfam family "tRNA". Rfam says of the family: Transfer RNA (tRNA) molecules are approximately 80 nucleotides in length. The record is from RNAcentral. Lineage: Bacteria; Pseudomonadati; Planctomycetota.